AGAAACACUAGAAGACUAAAUGAUGUUUUCUCCGUCUAUCUUUAGAUGCGCAGUGAUUUCUAGCAUUCCGGCUGGUGUUUCCUCCACCUACACAUGUAACAAUAUGGAGGGUCGAUACGUGAAUCUGUUCCUUCCUGGAGAUUCAAAGUAUCUUACUCUGUGUGAGGUGGAGGUCUAUGGAGAAGAUCCUUCUUUCCAAGAAGACUCUUGUGAAGAUGAAACUGAAGUUUGAGUCUGUCUGAACCUCCAGCUCCUGUCACAGCUUCAGUCUGCUUUGGUGGAACGAGGGUUUUCUGACAUGAUGCUGCUGUGGUCUCAACUGCACAAAAAGGAAUUGAUGUUGAAGGAAGCUUUGCCAAG
This is a long non-coding RNA of Cyprinus carpio (common carp), 360 nucleotides long. RefSeq lists it as uncharacterized. Lineage: Eukaryota; Metazoa; Chordata; Actinopteri; Cypriniformes; Cyprinidae. The record is from RefSeq and is a predicted model, not a curated record. The transcript has 3 exons.